Molecule: ribosomal RNA, 468 nt
Filed under: uncultured bacterium
Lineage: Bacteria
Description: partial 16S ribosomal RNA
Rfam family: Bacterial small subunit ribosomal RNA
Source: RNAcentral
GAUGAACGCUGGCGGCGUGCCUAACGCAUGCAAGUCGAGCGAUUCUCUUCGGAGAAGAGCGGCGGACGGGUGAGUAACGCGUGGGUAACCUGCCUUGUACACACGGAUAACAUACCGAAAGGUAUGCUAAUACGAGAUAAUAUGCUUUUAUCGCAUGGUAGAAGUAUCAAAGCUUUUGCAGUACAGGAUGGACCCGCGUCUGAUUAGCUAGUUGGUAAGGUAACGGCUUACCAAGGCGACGAUCAGUAGCCGACCUGAGAGGGUGAUCGGCCACAUUGGAACUGAGAUACGGUCCAAACUCCUACGGGAGGCAGCAGUGGAGAACAUUGCACAAUGGGCGAAAGCCUGAUGCAGCAACGCCGCGUGAGCGAUGAAGGCCUUCGGGUCGUAAAGCUCUGUCCUCAAGGAAGAUAAUGACGGUACUUGAGGAGGAAGCCCCGGCUAACUACGUGCCAGCAGCCGCGGUAA